AGAACAGAGACCUGGAAGGAUGUGGCCUCCCAACACAGGACAGCCUACCUCUUAACUUCUCUUACAUGCAACAGAAAUAACCUGCUGUAUUGUUGAAGCCACUGCUUUUUCUUGUCAACUGAAGAACAACGAAGUUACAAAUUUGGAAAGGAGAGCUUUAUUUCUCAUAAAGCGUUGCAGCCUGCAGGCAGCCAUUCUGAUAAGCUGGCAAGCGUCACCUCCAGUCAGAAGCCAGAAAUAGGCUCUUGAGAGUGGGAAGAAUAAGACAGAGAUAUAUGCUGAGCAGGGUGGCCAAAUAUAUAUAUUUGACAGUUAUAGGAGGAGCUAUGAAUAUUCACAAAGGGGAGGCAUGGGCAUGUGUAGAGGACUAACAUGAAUACAACAUGUGUCCCAUGUUCACUUUGGGGUGGAAACCUAAUGUUUAAAUGUAUUACAAUUAGGCCCUAUACAUCCAAGGGUGAAACAGAGCACACAAAGUCCCUCUGCACAGCAUCCAUAGAUGGCCAGAACCACUUUGUGGUUGGCGGUCUCUUAUCAGGAAAGAAUGCUGAUCAUUUGUUGUGUCAAAACCACAAAAGGGAGGUUGGUUGAAUUUAGCAGUGGAACAAGUCCUUCCAAAGGGCUGGUUUUUGUUUAAUGCUUAAGAAAGAAAGCCUAAAUAGUGGUUAAUGAGGGAGGGGGUAUAACAAGGCAUGUCCAACCUUCUGUACCAUCAUGGCCAGUUUUUAAGGUUUUUCUGGGGUCCCCUUGGCCAAGUGGGGAAGGAUCCAGUCAGUUGGUAUGGCAUUUAGGAUUUUAUUUUUAUUUAUCAAUCUCAUUUUGUUUUUCCAUUAAAUGCAGCCAAACCUAAUUUGAACUGAUAUACUUAAUGAAGAAGAAGAGAGCAGAACUCAGGGUUUUACUAUAGCCAAGAAAAACAAUGUGGCUCAGUCGAUACUUCUUAUUUCUACCAAACAAGUGUUCAUUUUUUUAUGAACAUUUUAUAAUACCUAUUUUACUCUCCUAAAAUGAAAAUCACAGACACUAUUGCCUAUAGGUAUAAAUAAUUGUAAAUAAUUGAACACACACAAACACAUUGCCUUAACAAUAGGAAAGAGGAUAAAUAAAAGGAAAGUAAGUCAGCAUAAAAUGACAUAUAAUUUAACAUGUAAAUACUGGAGUAUGAGCAUCCCAGGAGACUUAAAGAAGUUGUCAGGAGCUAGCACUUUCAUAUCGUGAAUAGGCUUGCAUUUAAGGGAAGUAAGAAAGCACAUUUAAGAAUGUCAGGUAGGACACACAAGGAAUGUGGAGUGGGAAACUGGACUGUCUCACAUAUUACAGGACAUAUGGCAUUGCUGUCCAUUAAGUGCCAGUAGAACCUCCCAAUCACUCUCACAACAAAAAUUGCCCCACAGAUUUCCAGACUGAAGCCAGUAGCCCGUCUUAUUUGAAGCCUCUGGUCUAAGUGGGCUAGAAACACCUGGGCUCUCUCCUUGGCACAGAGCCUUGAGGGUGGCCCCUUCCUUCCUGAGGCCAAGGCCUGGCCUGCCUGUCUUAACAGCUCUUAGUUUUCUCUCUUUCUGCUCUAAUCUCCACUUAGGAAUGCCAGAUUUAGCAAUAAAAUUCGAGAAUUCCUGGUUAAAUUUGAAUUUCAGAUUAAACUAUGAAUAAUCGUUUAAGUAAGUCCCAAAUCUUGCAUGAGACCUACACUAAAAAAAAAAAGGAAAAAAAUUGAUUUAACUGAAAUUUGAAUUUAGCUGGAACACCCUAUAUUUUACUUGACAACCUUACUCCCAGUACACAUUGUUCCCCUCAGAACCUCAAGAAAACCUAUCUUAAGGGUAUCAAUUCAGCCGGGAGACUUUAAGACCUACGGGCAUAAUGUAGAAUUUCCCAAAAUGGGUUCCACGGAGUACUUCCAUGAAGUGCUCAGUAGGAAAAAAGAGACAGCCUACCUUAACUCCUCUUAGAGAUUCAUAAUACUGUACAUAUCUCCUAGGAAAGCUUAAGCGGGUCCUGCUCUUACAUUUAAUACUUAACCUGGUAUUUCCCAAACCAUUUCAUCUAGCACCUGCUAACUGUCCCAGACACCAGUGGUCCAGGGAACACACCGUAGGAGGCAGGUUUGAGGAAACUAUUUCUGGAGCCCCAAACUAAUCCCACAUGGCCACACUCCUGCUGUGGUUACUAUGACUCUCUAGGCCUCAGUUUCUCAUCAGCAGAAGGGUGGAGUCGAAUGGAAUUAGCUUGAAGGUCCCUGGAGUUUAUGAAAUCUGGAGAUUCCACUUUCAUACACUGCCUUUCCUCAGAGCUCUGUCCCAUUAUUACCAAGAGCCACCUCAAGCCAAACUCAAAAGUUGGGGCAAACCAAAGGUUCAAAGCUCACACAGUGCAUGAACUGUCUCCAGGAGCCUGAAUUCUCUAUCCUAUUUUUAGCUCUGAUCCAUCUCAGGCCCAGCAGAUACCAUAGUGAUGAUCACUGUAAUUUCAUGGGAAAGAUACAGGAAACCCAACAAUAACAGCAAUAAUUCAGCAGCCUAGCAGAUGCCAGAUCUCAUUUGUGCUUCACCCUUAGCAUGACUGAUGAUACACACUAUCAGAGCAAAAGAAUGUUCAUCUGUGGCAAAAGACCUUUAGCACAUUUCCUGUAACCUCCAAUUUGCAGCAAGUUGAGUUCCAGUUGGUGGGUUGCUGAUGUGGCCACUAGAAAAAGGUGACCCCUCCAUUCCUUGGCAUGGACAUUUAGACUCUCAAGAAUACCACUGAAGCCAUGCAGAGGAUAGAGGCAAAGGGAGAUAACACAAACACUCAGAGGAAAAGAUGAUGUGAAAACAGAGGCAGAGAUUAAAGUGCAGUGACCUCAAGUCCAAGAGUGCCGAAAAAGCCACCAGAAGCUGGAAGAGUUACAGCAGCCUCUGAGGUGGUGGAGGGUGGCAGCAGGACAGUGAGCUGAGGGCCAACCCCUGUGCCCAAGUGUGCUGCUCUGCUCAACUCCAUGUGCACCAGGGAACAGCCAUUCUCUGCAGGCUGAUUUGAUCUGGAACCACAAUUGAGUCUAGUUCUGGAAUCUCAGACACAUGGAGAACUACACCUUGUCUCCAGUUGCUACAAGUCAAGUCCACCUGCAUGCAGACAGCUACAAUUGUCUUGUAAAAUUAGAAAACAGAACAGGGACAACAGUAUUAUCUAUAUUGACUAUAGAUUAAUUAUUCAUCUGCAUUCUUUGUCUUUUGUACUUAUAAAUAUGAAAUUUGUAUAUAAACAUGUGUUUUACAACAUAAGAUACAGAUCUAUAUAUAUAUAUACCUUUGAAAGAUUAUUCUCUCUGCUCUUUGGCCUAAAUUUCCAAAUGGAAUCAUCCUGUGUACAGUAACCUGUGUCUGAAAAUUUCUGUCCACUUAGAGUAAUGAAGGCAUGGGGUCAUAAUGAGAGCAACAAAAAAGUUACACUUUAUACUGUGAAAGACCGUCACCUUAUUGUUCAUUUACUUAAGUUUUUCAUUUUGUUUUUUUAAAAUAUAUUUUGAAAUGUUGAAUAAAAAACUCAAGGCAC
Molecule: non-coding RNA, 3531 nt
Filed under: Pan troglodytes (chimpanzee)
Lineage: Eukaryota; Metazoa; Chordata; Mammalia; Primates; Hominidae
Source: RNAcentral